This 3590-nucleotide long non-coding RNA is filed under the name Xyrichtys novacula (pearly razorfish). Lineage: Eukaryota; Metazoa; Chordata; Actinopteri; Labriformes; Labridae. The record is from RNAcentral.
AUAAUUCAGCCACACUGAAGGGGACUCCCCCCAUGAUUGAACAUAAUGACGUGUGAACCCAUUAGGUGGCUAAUAAGAAACAGCAAUGGAGCUGAUGAUGAUGUAGAUGAUACUGGUGAGAACUUUGCUGCAAUAAUCAACUCCAUUUAAAAAGACCACAAAAGCUCAUUCUGCUUUCUAAGGAGAGUAAUUGAGUUUAGAAAAGAGGGAUAAAAGGAUAAGGCAGUGAGGGGCUGUUUUCACGAAGAAAGAAACGUGCCUGUGAAACGCGCUCUUGUUGAGGUGUGUCACUGUAAUGAAGCUGAUUAUGAUCGAAGCUCUGGGUUGCGUGUCAGUUUGGCCUCAUUUGGGCCAGAUUGCACAUUGUUUGUGGUUGGUUGUCGUCUGUCAACAGGCAGAUGAAUAUCUGAAAUGUCCGAAACGUGAACUUUAACACAAUGACUUUGAUAUUUUCCCCUUUUGAUUCCGUUGAAGAGGCAUCUUUUUUUGCAAAACAAAUUAAUAUCAGUCAAUAGCUAUUAGUUAUUGAUGACAUUUGGUAAUUUAACAGUAUCACUGUUUUGUUAUGUCUGUGUAGUCAACAUUUUAAUAUUUUUGAGCGGCCCGCUCUCUCUGACUGUAAACAAAGCCAUUCUCCACCUCCCCCAACCUGAUUGUGAGGUGGACACUGCUCCACAUCACGGUCAAGAGCACAAACCAAGUUAGCGUGCUACAGUAUCGGACAGUGGAAACCAACAAGAAAGUACGGGAAAUUGUCUGAAUCCUCCUUUGGCCACGACUGCUAACAUACGCAAGAAAAUGAACUUAAUACCGGAGACUCUGGUGGAAUAAGAGGUAGGAGGCAGACCAGACAAGAGCUAAGAAGCUAGGUCAACAUCAGCAUAAACAAUGGGGGAGGCCUCGGGAUCUUGGUGACCCUGUAACCUUUCUGCUGGACAGGUAAACCGCUUUAACAAAGUAAGACAAGUGUCUGUAACAGAAGUGUUUCUUGUCAAACAGACCUGCUGUAGCGUGUUGUAGCGCCAUCGCUAAACUGUUGACCUCAGGUCCUGGAGUAAGUCAUUUAUCCUAGUUGUAGAAGUCCUGCAAACAUUGUGUUUGCUGGUAGUCUGUUGGCAUCUACAGUAGCACCAAUGCUUUUGACUUUCACCUUGACUGGGCCCCAUUUGUAAUGAUCUGAAGUAUUUAUCUGCAUUAUAUCUGAAUUUAAUUGGAACGAUGCGAGCGAGCAGGGACGUCUGUUUGUGGGCGGGGCUUGCUGGAGCAGAGAGGGAGGGGAGAGGAGGAGCUGAGGAGACAACUGGUGGGGGGGUAGAGUUUACAUUCAAGAUUUCUCCCAAAAACGGGCGCUUCCUCAGAUCGUGCCUACCUCCCCUUUUAAAGCUAUUUAUAUCAUUAUAGGAAGCUGGACUGAAGGUUUUUAAUAUCGUGUUGUAACUUGACAUGUACCCAUGUGUCCCCUCUCUGUCAUGUUCAGUCAUUUCCCCUCCGCAGACUCGUUUGAUUUAUUUGUGAAAGUUUCUAAAACCGAGAAAAACUGUUAGAAAUGAGUGAGUGAGUUAUAGACGCAUACAAAAUAUUCAUAGAGGAAAAAGUGGCGUAAAAAAAUUGGCAGGUGAUCAUCGGAUCAUCUAUCCUGGUUCGAUCACAAACCAGAUCGAUUUUCAAGCAGCGAUAAAUAUUAUUAAAAGAACAAAUUGAUAUUGUAGAUUCGACUCGAUCUCUCCCUCACACACAUUCAGUGGUGCACAGGGACUAAGAGUGACAGCAGAUGAGAACCACAGAUGUCUCCCUCGUGAGAACACGGCUGCCAACAGAUGAGCCGACCCAUUCUUCAUCGUUCUCUCUGUGUCUGGCGUGUCGUACACUUGGACCCAUGAGUUCACUCCUUCAUCUGCCUCUGCGUGUCUGUGUCCAUGAUGUAUUCCUCUUUUCUCUCUCCUCGUCUGCUCACUUUCCAGUUUUUUUCUUCAGAACAGAGCGUUCUUUCCUCUGUUAUAGUGUUAAUUUGUGUAAUUUGGCACAUUAUUACAUGAAAUAGACAACUGUUGUUAAAAAAAAAAUCCUAGAUUUCAUUUAGUAUCCCAGAGACUUGGUUACCUUUCUGCAGACCAAUCCAAACUUUUCCCUCCAGGGGAGUUUACGAUCUGUCUGAAUCAUGAUGGUGUUUGCUCACCAAAAUAUUUCUUAUUCCUUUGCACAUAAAAGGAAAUUAGACUUUUUGAUGGUAGAGAUAAUUUGUUAGACUGAAACUGCGCUGCAUCACUGGGAAGGUCUUUUAUUUGUUUUUCUAAUAAGAGUUUAUACGUCUCUUUUGGAGGCAAAAAAAAUUGCUAUAAUCUGCAAAAAAAAUCAAAAGGGUUGUAGGUUUUCAAACCGAAACUAAAAAAUUGAUGUAAAUCAGAAACAAUAUUUGCACGAGGAUGGAUCCUUGAGGUACACCAUAUUGGACAGUUUUUAAUGAUACAAUAAUAAUGCAUCAGAUUUUAUAGCACUUUAUCAGAGACCAGCUGUCCUGAGGCCUACAGCCUCUCCAACCACCACACAACACUCACAAUCACACACCAGUGGAGCAGGGUGGGUUAAGUGUCUUGCUCAAGGACACAACGGACAGACUAGAGAUAGGGGGGAAUCAAACUGCCAACCUUCCAGUUAUUGGACAACCGCUCUACCUCUUGAAGUACUGCCACCUACUUUCUUGUUGACUCAUUACUGUUAAUAAAUACAUAUUGCGUUGUAUCAUGACCAGAAUUACUAAACCCCUUAAAAGCAUUAACCCAAAAAUAUAUUAUUGCAAACUCAAAACUGUCCAAGAAAUAAAUAUUCUGUCAGUAAUUUUGCAGCAGUUUCAAGCGAAUCACAACCCAGAAGAUCAAUAAUGUGUUCACAGCAUAGAAAGAGAGAGACAGCAAAAAUGACCUCCUUUAAAAAUAAACCCACAAGCUGCUGGGGUGUUUAGGAGACUGUCAGACACCUGCAAUGAUCCCACCUCAGUAUCACCGAUCAGUGCAUCCCUUCAUUAGGAAAAGUAUGGUGCUCAUUCACACAUGACACUCAGCAGAACCUGAUGCUCUGUCCAAACUGAGGCAUGGCUCGGACUUGAUGUUUGGAGGCUAGGGAACAACCAAAAAUCUCUGGUCUCCUACAUGCUGAGGUUAUAGUAACGUCUUUAUUUUCCCAAGUUUUUCAUCUUGUACAAAGAAAUGGCGCAGAACAGAUGAACAAAUCUGUAUAUUUCAUAUUCAAAGAAAUGCCCAAGAACCAGCUCCCAGUGCAUCCAACUGUGUGAGAUUAGUGCUAUCUUUUUAUAUGGAAAUAACUUCCAUGUAUAAUUUCCUCUGGAGCUGUUUUCUAAGACACAAAAACAGCCUGAUUGUAUGUAUCCUCCCUAUAGCAUCUGCAUGUUUGCCACUUCUAAGAAGCCAUUAAAACAGCGAGUUUCUGAGCCAGCAGGAUCAUUAUAUGCAUGUAUAAUUGAGAUGAGUAGCUGCUGCAUUGAUGCGCCAUAGCUUCUGUGUCAUACAAAGCUCUGUUUAUCCAUUUCUGUUUUACCAUCAGCAGUCACAGCCCACUUUCCCAAGCCGAGUGCU